This 1193-nucleotide long non-coding RNA is filed under the name Zea mays. RNAcentral's name for it is "long non-coding RNA NONZMAT002293". Lineage: Eukaryota; Viridiplantae; Streptophyta; Magnoliopsida; Poales; Poaceae. The record is from RNAcentral.
AUUCCAAAAUACAGUUUAACCGCGACCCAUUCCUCGAAAUCAAUCGGACGACCUCGCUACAGUUCGCAUCUCGCCUCUGGGGCGGCGGCUGCGCGACCCCGAGGGGAUCUCGCCUCAGCGACGGUCCCACCUAAGGUGAGCUCCUCUGAUCUCCUUCCUCCUCUCUGAGGUGAGAUCCUGUCUCCUCCCUCCUCUCUCCUUGCUUGCCUACAACACCCCCACCACGGCGCCAUCGUACCGCUUUGCAGCUCCAAUCUUCGCACGCUCCAGUGAGAGGAGCCCACUGGACUGCCAGCUCAGUACCCUCCUAAGGCGACGUUGUCGCACACGCCGUCAUUAGGUGACACUCGUCCUUGUGCCACCACCCACAGGCCAUAGCCUUCGGCUUCUGAUCUGGAGUUAAGGAUUCCCACGGCAGCCGAACCCAACACAGACCGUCCCAACGUAGCCGAACCCACGACAACCAUAAUAAUGCAAAUGCAUCGAGUUAGGUUGUCAAGCGGCAUGUCGGCCGCUCACCAUGACUUGGGUGGGUGCGUGGGAAGAACAGGCUAAUUCUUUUCUUUUUCCAGCAAACAAACACUUUCAAUUGGCUGAUGGAUGAACUCUUGUUUGCUUGUCCUCUCCCUCUAACUUACAUCUGCCUAGCUAGCUUUAAGUUAGGGAGUAAACAACUCGGGGAUGGAAAUUGUGCUACACCAGAGUCCAGUUAGCUCUUUCGGGCCUGUCUAUUUAAACGCAGGCUCUACGCCUUAGAGGAGUUGUGGAUAAAAUCUUACAUGAAUCACUUGUUCCACAUAAAAAUCAGACGUCCACCCCUUGCAACUUGCAUAUUUACAUGAUAAUCUUUCAAAGCAGCCCGUUCUUACAUGAUAAUAUUGUUAGAUAACUUGUAUUGUUAGAUUAACCUAUAUUGUUAGAUAACCUGCAUUACUAGAUAACCUGUAUCGUUCACCAAGAUUGAUGCUUGUUAGAUAACCUGUAUUGGCAUAGAUGUGGAUUAAUUAGGACCAACACAAAAUCUGUAUUUGCAGCUACAACAAAGAAUCAAGCUCCGGACUGUUCCAGCAAAUAACUUGAUUCUACAUGUUUAGUCUGUAUUGGCAGAUAACUUGAUUCCACAACAAAUUUGUACUCAUGUAUCUGUUACGGUUUGAGCUUCCAUAGUUAAAUGAAAUAUGUGUGUUUGAUGG